This 273-nucleotide long non-coding RNA is filed under the name Lathyrus oleraceus (garden pea). RNAcentral describes it as "Pisum sativum (pea) long non-coding RNA (PSAT_LNC036533)". Lineage: Eukaryota; Viridiplantae; Streptophyta; Magnoliopsida; Fabales; Fabaceae. The record is from RNAcentral.
UUGGUCAUUGAAGAACAACCGACAUAACUUUUUGAUUUUGUGUGGUUCCUUCGACACCUAAGGCAUGUGGUUGAUCUCCACGUGGGAUGUUUCAUCUUGUAAUUCAAAUGUGUAGUCAGAUUAAAUGAACACUACCCUACCCCGAGUUUAUUGUAAGGGUUUGUAGAUCUGAAAGAAAAACCUACUUCUAGGCUCGAAUUGGUUAACUAUGGAUUAACUCCUUAUCUCUCCCGUGUUUAGGGAUUUGAAACAAUGUUUGUACAUAAUCAGCAA